Molecule: ribosomal RNA, 419 nt
Filed under: bacterium
Lineage: Bacteria
Description: partial 16S ribosomal RNA
Rfam family: Bacterial small subunit ribosomal RNA
Source: RNAcentral
UGGGGGAUAUUGCACAAUGGGCGAAAGCCUGAUGCAGCGACGCCGCGUGGGGGAUGAAGGCCUUCGGGUUGUAAACUUCUUUUGCUCUGAACAAGGCGCACCAUGGGGUGUGUUGAGUGUAGGGGUUGAUUAGCGCCGGCUAACUACGUGCCAGCAGCCGCGGUAAUACGUAGGGCGCGAGCGUUGUCCGGAAUUAUUGGGGGUAAAGGGCUUGUAGGUGGCUGGUUGCGUCUGUCGUGAAAGCUCAUGGCUUAACUGUGGGUUUGCGGUGGGUACGGGCUGGCUUGAGUGCAGUAGGGGAGGAUGGAAUUCCUGGUGUAGCGGUGGAAUGCGCAGAUAUCAGGAGGAAUACCGGUGGCGAAGGCGGGUCUCUGGGCUGUUACUGACACUGAGGAGCGAAAGCAUGGGGAGCGAACAGG